RNAcentral lists this long non-coding RNA (1469 nucleotides) under Mus musculus (house mouse). Its description in RNAcentral is "long non-coding RNA chr1:189873620-189875089". Lineage: Eukaryota; Metazoa; Chordata; Mammalia; Rodentia; Muridae. The record is from RNAcentral.
AGCAGCUCCGGCUCACUCUAGCAGGGAGCUUUGGGCCUUCCAUGGGGACGGCACGUUCCCUGGUGACCUACAACUUGAUGUAUUGGCCCUGGAGGGUGGACUCAGUCACAGUUAGCCCCAGAGGGUUACUACAGUCUGAGCAUACUGGCCUUCACCUCGCUUCUGUGUCCUUCGGUGGCAAAUCACCUUUCCGGGGACAUCUGCUGAAUGUAGUACCCACAUGUCUGGGGAAAUAUGAGGGUGUGCUCAGCACAUGCUGCCAACCCGGCUUAUCCAGAUGUCAGUUAUUCUAGGGGAGCUGGGACAGUGUCCAGCAGCUUGUCCACAUUCAUCCUCCUGUUCUCAGCUUUUGCAUUUCCAUUAUAACCUUCGGGGAAGUGAGUGUUUUCACCGGGUGUGUCCAGUCCUUCGUAACCUUUGCCGUUUAGUAUGGAACAUCACCUUUCUCAGGCUCUCGCUGACGUGUUCCUGUUAGCCUGUUCAUGACUGGGCACUGGGGGUCUGGCACCCUUCAAUCUCAUGGAUGGAUAGUGUGCUGCUGUUUGGAGAUCGGUUCUUGCCGUUUGGAGCUGGGUUCAGCCUCCUCAUUUUAGAGAUAAAUUAAAGGGCAUUUGGUUGUCUGGCAGGGGUUGGAGCAAAUGCCAGCCUAAAUAUGGUUAACUGUUGCAUAGAAAGUGACUCUUGGGCUACACUCUUGCCAGCAGGACCAUCAUUCACUAAAAGUGCUCAGAGCUUGUCCAAGGACAGUAGGGAGUGGUUAGAUCACCCCUGGAUUUCUUACCCCAAAUUUUUUGGGCAUAUAAUUUUUUUUGAACCCUGCCACAAUGUCAGAAUUGGAAACUGUGACGCAACGCCCCAGGAAGACUGUGCUCCAGCCUUGAGGGCUACUUCUCCUGGGCUCCUUGCCUGCCCCCUGUAUCGGGUUGUGACGUGUGAUCUUUGCUCUGGGGACUCCUCGCCUGAUACUGCAUGCUUGUGAGCAGAGAGUUCUGCCCAUUCGUGCUACUCCCAUGCUCAGCACUCGCAGACUCUCUUGCCUGUGAGUGCCUGUGCAAGUCAUGUUUAUACAAACGCCGGGCUGUGCAGCGGCCAUGAGCAUCCUUGUGCGGGGAUGAGGUGGUGCCCCGUGUGUCGUCACUGUCUGCAUUCGAGGUCACUUUGUCCACCCAGAGUGCCUCCAGCUUUCCUUCCUUGCUCACUUGCUUUCCAGACCAGCUCUCUGAAGUUCAUUUUUAAUUUUACCCUACCUGUCCACAAAGCUCCUAUAAAAGUCAAAUCUGGCAAAGGACCAUGGCCUUAAACCUCUCUAAAAUGUCCACAGAGGAAUUCUUAAGAAAGAAUGGUUCCGUAGCUUCUGGGGAUGGGGGAUGGGAUCUGGGAAAUGAGUGUCCAAGAUGAAUCGUGUAGAAGGCUUCUCACAACCAGGCCUCCCUCCUGUCCUAAGGGACAACACUGUCCCUCAGUACCAG